Molecule: ribosomal RNA, 265 nt
Filed under: uncultured prokaryote
Description: partial 16S ribosomal RNA
Rfam family: Bacterial small subunit ribosomal RNA
Source: RNAcentral
UACGUAGGUGGCAAGCGUUAUCCGGAAUUAUUGGGCGUAAAGAGCGCGCAGGUGGUUGAUUAAGUCUGAUGUGAAAGCCCACGGCUUAACCGUGGAGGGUCAUUGGAAACUGGUCGACUUGAGUGCAGAAGAGGGAAGUGGAAUUCCAUGUGUAGCGGUUAAAUGCGUAGAGAUAUGGAGGAACACCAGUGGCGAAGGCGGCUUCCUGGUCUGUAACUGACACUGAGGCGCGAAAGCGUGGGGAGCAAACAGGAUUAGAUACCCU